Oreochromis aureus is the source of this 678-nucleotide long non-coding RNA. Lineage: Eukaryota; Metazoa; Chordata; Actinopteri; Cichliformes; Cichlidae. The record is from Ensembl.
UGAUACUAAAACAGGAAAAGUGCAGCUGUUUACCUUCAGCCAUCAGACCUCAGGUGAGGAAACAGGUGACACAAAAACAACAAAGAAACCAGACAGAAAAACUGAAACAACCACAACAAUUAAGACGCUUCUAAAAUCAGGUGAUGUUACUAAAACUAAGUUGACCAAAAAUAUUUAUUUAUUUUUCAGUUCAAAGUGGCCUUUAAUAUGAUUUACAGCACAUGAAAAAUACAUUCUCUCUCUCUCUUUUUUAACUUCUAAUUUCAGAUGAUACAACAGCAAAAACUGUGGAAAGUGAAAGCACGACAGCAAACAACAAACCAUCAGGAGAUUCACAACAUGAUUUUGUAUCUUUGAGGUUCAUAAUUGUCUCUGUGGGAUUGGCAGCACUUUCAAUAACAGCUGUGACAGUCAACAUGUGGACAAAAACUAAAGGGAAGAAAACACAGAUGGAUAAAAACACAGUACAUUAUGAUAGAGGUGAAGAUGUUCCAGUCAACUAUGAAAAUGUGGGAAACUCUGCUGUUUCAAUCAGACUGCACUGAUCAACAAAAUCACUGCUGUUAUAUUAUCAGUAUCAUCUCAUCUGGUUUAAACAUUAAAUAUCUUAGAUAUGAUGAGUCCAUUUUGACUUCUAUGUUAAUCUAUGUUAUGUCUAUGUUAAUGUAUUCAGAGCUG